UAGGGGCGUCAGGUUCGGCUCCCCUCCCCGAGCGCAGGGUAACUCUUAAGGUGGAGGGGAC
RNAcentral lists this non-coding RNA (61 nucleotides) under Marmota monax (woodchuck). It matches the Rfam family "Gag/pol translational readthrough site". The record is from RNAcentral. Lineage: Eukaryota; Metazoa; Chordata; Mammalia; Rodentia; Sciuridae.